CCUACGGGGGGCAGCAGUGGGGAAUAUUGGACAAUGGGGGGAACCCUGAUCCAGCCAUGCCGCGUGUGUGAAGAAGGCCCUCGGGUUGUAAAGCACUUUCAGUGAGGAAGAACGCCUGGUGGUUAAUACCCAUCAGGAAAGACAUCACUCACAGAAGAAGCACCGGCUAACUCCGUGCCAGCAGCCGCGGUAAUACGGAGGGUGCGAGCGUUAAUCGGAAUUACUGGGCGUAAAGCGCGCGUAGGUGGCUUGAUAAGCCGGUUGUGAAAGCCCCGGGCUCAACCUGGGAACGGCAUCCGGAACUGUCAAGCUAGAGUGCAGGAGAGGAAGGUAGAAUUCCCGGUGUAGCGGUGAAAUGCGUAGAGAUCGGGAGGAAUACCAGUGGCGAAGGCGGCCUACUGGACUGACACUGACACUGAGGUGCGAAAGCGUGGGUAGCAAACAGGAUUAGAUACCCUAGUAGUC
Molecule: ribosomal RNA, 465 nt
Filed under: Vreelandella stevensii
Lineage: Bacteria; Pseudomonadati; Pseudomonadota; Gammaproteobacteria; Oceanospirillales; Halomonadaceae
Description: partial 16S ribosomal RNA
Rfam family: Bacterial small subunit ribosomal RNA
Source: RNAcentral